RNAcentral lists this ribosomal RNA (497 nucleotides) under uncultured bacterium. RNAcentral's name for it is "partial 16S ribosomal RNA". It matches the Rfam family "Bacterial small subunit ribosomal RNA", at positions 28 to 507 of the family's 1533-position model. The record is from RNAcentral.
GAUGAACGCUGGCGGCGUGCCUAAUACAUGCAAGUCGAGCGAACAGACGAGGAGCUUGCUCCUCUGACGUUAGCGGCGGACGGGUGAGUAACACGUGGAUAACCUACCUAUAAGACUGGGAUAACUUCGGGAAACCGGAGCUAAUACCGGAUAAUAUAUUGAGCCGCAUGGUUCAAUAGUGAAAGACGGUUUUGCUGUCACUUAUAGAUGGAUCCGCGCCGCAUUAGCUAGUUGGUAAGGUAACGGCUUACCAAGGCAACGAUGCGUAGCCGACCUGAGAGGGGGAUCGGCCACACUGGAACUGAGACACGGUCCAGACUCCUACGGGAGGCAGCAGUAGGGAAUCUUCCGCAAUGGGCGAAAGCCUGACCGAGCAACGCCGCGUGAGUGAUGAAGGUCUUCGGAUCGUAAAACUCUGUUAUUAGGGAAGAACAAAUGUGUAAGUAACUAUGCACGUCUUGACGGUACCUAAACAGAAAGCCACGGCUAACUACGUG